ACGGAAGGCAGCAGUGGGGAAUAUUGCACAAUGGGCGAAAGCCUGAUGCAGCGACGCCGCGUGAGUGAAGAAGUAUCUCGGUAUGUAAAGCUCUAUCAGCAGGGAAGAAAAUGACGGUACCUGACUAAGAAGCCCCGGCUAACUACGUGCCAGCAGCCGCGGUAAUACGUAGGGGGCAAGCGUUAUCCGGAUUUACUGGGUGUAAAGGGAGCGUAGACGGCAAGGCAAGUCUGAUGUGAAAACCCAAGGCUCAACCAUGGGACUGCAUUGGAAACUGUCUAGCUAGAGUGCAGGAGAGGUAAGUGGAAUUCCUAGUGUAGCGGUGAAAUGCGUAGAUAUUAGGAGGAACACCAGUGGCGAAGGCGGCUUACUGGACUGUAACUGACGUUGAGGCUCGAAAGCGUGGGGAGCAAACAGGAUUAGAUACCCUGGUA
Molecule: ribosomal RNA, 434 nt
Filed under: uncultured bacterium
Lineage: Bacteria
Description: partial 16S ribosomal RNA
Rfam family: Bacterial small subunit ribosomal RNA
Source: RNAcentral